This 465-nucleotide ribosomal RNA is filed under the name uncultured bacterium. RNAcentral's name for it is "partial 16S ribosomal RNA". It matches the Rfam family "Bacterial small subunit ribosomal RNA", at positions 28 to 507 of the family's 1533-position model. The record is from RNAcentral.
GACGAACGCUGGCGGCGUGCUUAACACAUGCAAGUCGAACGGAAAGGCCCCUUUGGGGGUACUCGAGUGGCGAACGGGGGAGUAACACGUGAGUAACCUGCCCUUGACUUCGGGAUAACUUCAGGAAACUGGGGCUAAUACCGGAUAGGAAUCCUUGCUGCAUGGUGGGGGUUGGAAAGCUUCGGCGGUUUUGGAUGGACUCGCGGCUUAUCAGCUUGUUGGUGGGGUAGUGGCUUACCAAGGCUUUGACGGGUAGCUGGCCUGAGAGGGCGACCGGCCACAUUGGGACUGAGAUGAGGCACAGACUCCUAAGGGAGGAAGCAGUGGGGAAUAUUGCACAAGGGGCGGAAGCCGGAUGCAGCAACGCCGCGUGCGGGAUGACGGCCUUCGGGUUGUAAACCGCUUUCAGCAGGAGCGAAGCUUGUGGUGACGGUACCUGAAGAAGAAGCACCGGCUAACUACGUG